This 301-nucleotide ribosomal RNA is filed under the name uncultured bacterium. RNAcentral's name for it is "partial 16S ribosomal RNA". It matches the Rfam family "Bacterial small subunit ribosomal RNA", at positions 509 to 808 of the family's 1533-position model. The record is from RNAcentral.
CAGCAGCCGGGUAAUACGUAGGUAGCAAGCGUUGUCCGGAAUUAUUGGGCGUAAAGGGCUCGCAGGCGGUUUCUUAAGUCUGAUGUGAAAGCCCCCGGCUCAACCGGGGAGGGUCAUUGGAAACUGGGAAACUUGAGUGCAGAAGAGGAGAGUGGAAUUCCACGUGUAGCGGUGAAAUGCGUAGAGAUGUGGAGGAACACCGGUGGCGAAGGCGACUCUCUGGUCUGUAACUGACGCUGAGGAGCGAAAGCUAGGGGAGCAAAUGGGAUUAGAUACCCCAGUAGUCCCUGUCUCUUAUACC